GACGAACGCUGGCGGCGUGCUUAACACAUGCAAGUGGAGCGACGAACCGGGGCUUGCCCCGGGGCAGAGCCGCGAACGGGUGAGUAACACGUGGGUAACCUGCCUUGAUGAUUGGGACAACCCGAGGAAACUCGGGCUAAUACCAAAUGUGCUCUCUCCCUCCAAGGGGAUUGAGGAAAGGAAGCUUCGGCCUCCGCAUCAAGAUGGGCCCGCGGCCCAUUAGCUUGUUGGUGAGGUAACGGCUCACCAAGGCUUCGAUGGGUAGCUGGUCUGAGAGGACGAUCAGCCACACUGGGACUGAGACACGGCCCAGACUCCUACGGGAGGCAGCAGUGGGGAAUCUUGCACAAUGCGCGAAAGCGUGAUGCAGCAACGCCGCGUGGGGGAAGACGGCCUUCGGGUUGUAAACCCCUUUCAGUUGGGACGAAGCUUUGUGGGUGAAUAGCCCAUUGGAGUGACGGUACCUUCAGAAGAAGCCCCGGCUAACUACGUGCCAGCAGCCGCAGUAAAAC
Molecule: ribosomal RNA, 512 nt
Filed under: uncultured bacterium
Lineage: Bacteria
Description: bacterial SSU rRNA
Rfam family: Bacterial small subunit ribosomal RNA
Source: RNAcentral